Molecule: unclassified non-coding RNA, 284 nt
Filed under: Hevea brasiliensis (rubber tree)
Lineage: Eukaryota; Viridiplantae; Streptophyta; Magnoliopsida; Malpighiales; Euphorbiaceae
Source: RNAcentral
AAUGAUGUUGUUGUUGCUGGAGGCAUGGAAAGCAUGUCUAAUGCACCUAAAUACCUGGCAGAAGCAAGGAAGGGAUCACGACUUGGACAUGAUUCAGUAGUUGAUGGAAUGCUGAAAGAUGGGUUGUGGGAUGUUUAUAAUGAUGUUGGCAUGGGAAGUUGUGCUGAAAUAUGUGCUGAUAAUCAUUCAAUAACAAGAGAGGAUCAGGAUAACUAUGCUAUUCACAGUUUUGAGCGUGGUAUUGCUGCCCAAGACAGUGGUGCCUUUGCAUGGGAAAUUGUUCC